Eublepharis macularius is the source of this 284-nucleotide long non-coding RNA. RefSeq lists it as uncharacterized. Lineage: Eukaryota; Metazoa; Chordata; Lepidosauria; Squamata; Eublepharidae. The transcript has 3 exons. The record is from RefSeq and is a predicted model, not a curated record.
GCAAUGCUGAGAGGCAGGGAGAGGAAAGAAGAUGAAGUGGAAGCUACUGCAGUGCUGAGGUGGUGGUGGUCCCUUGCCGCUCCAUCGUAAAGAUGGUGGUACAGGUGCAAGUUCUGGGUCAACCGCUGCACAUGAACCCUGUCUGUGCUCAUUGUGAGAAGACUCUGACCACCCGUUCCUUCUUGAAAAAAGCAUGUUCCAGUUUCCUGACUGCUACAUAGACACUCAGUCAACACUGGAAAACUGUUCCACAACCCUGAAGUAACUACUAUAAAGCCAACAUG